GAUGAAGAACGCAGCGAAAUGCGAUAAGUAAUGUGAAUUGCAGAAUUCAGUGAAUCAUCGAAUCUUUGAACGCACAUUGCGCCCGCCAGUAUUCUGGCGGGCAUGCCUGUCCGAGCGUCAUUUCAACCCUCGGGACCCUUCGGGGAACCGGUGUUGGGGACCCGUCCGCCGACCCACGGCGGCCGGCCCCGAAAUACAGUGGCGGCCCUGCGGCGACCUCCUCUGCGUAGUAGCGAUACCUCGCAGCUGGAAAGCGGCAGCGGCCACGCCGUAAAACCCCCAAUUUUCAAUUGUUGACCUCGGAUCAGGUGGGAAUACCCGCUGAACUUAAGCAUAUCAAUAAGCGGAGGA
This 351-nucleotide unclassified non-coding RNA is filed under the name soil metagenome. RNAcentral's name for it is "partial contains 5.8S ribosomal RNA, internal transcribed spacer 2, and large subunit ribosomal RNA". The stretch from base 1 to 120 matches the Rfam family "5.8S ribosomal RNA", at positions 35 to 154 of the family's 154-position model. The record is from RNAcentral.